Molecule: small nuclear RNA, 114 nt
Filed under: Carlito syrichta (Philippine tarsier)
Lineage: Eukaryota; Metazoa; Chordata; Mammalia; Primates; Tarsiidae
Description: U2 spliceosomal RNA (ENSTSYG00000027980.1)
Rfam family: U2 spliceosomal RNA (bases 18-114)
About the family: U2 is a small nuclear RNA (snRNA) component of the spliceosome (involved in pre-mRNA splicing). Complementary binding between U2 snRNA (in an area lying towards the 5' end but 3' to hairpin I) and the branchpoint sequence (BPS) of the intron results the bulging out of an unpaired adenosine, on the BPS, which initiates a nucleophilic attack at the intronic 5' splice site, thus starting the first of two transesterification reactions that mediate splicing.
Source: RNAcentral
GCCCAGCUGAGGACAAUAUAUUAGAUGGAUUUUGGGGGCAGGGAGUUGGAAGAGGAGCUUGCUCUGUCCACUCCACACAUCGACCUGGUAUUGCAGUACUUCCAGAAACGGUGC